Molecule: ribosomal RNA, 254 nt
Filed under: uncultured bacterium
Lineage: Bacteria
Description: partial 16S ribosomal RNA
Rfam family: Bacterial small subunit ribosomal RNA
Source: RNAcentral
UACGGGGGGGGCAAGCGUUGUUCGGAAUUACUGGGCGUAAAGGGCUCGUAGGUGGCCAACUAAGUCAGACGUGAAAUCCCUCGGCUUAACCGGGGAACUGCGUCUGAUACUGGAUGGCUUGAGUUCGGGAGAGGGAUGCGGAAUUCCAGGUGUAGUGGUGAAAUGCGUAGAGAUCCGGCGGAACACCGGUGGUGAAGACGGUCUCCUGGGCCGAGGGCCGACGCUGAGGCGCGAGAGCGUGGGGAGCGAGCCGG